UACGGAGGGUGCGAGCGUUGUCCGGAAUCACUGGGCGUAAAGGGCGCGUAGGCGGUCUGCUAAGCGUGUGGUGAAAGCUCGGGGCUCAACCCCGAGUCUGCCAUGCGAACUGGUGGACUAGAGCACUGUAGAGGCGAGUGGAAUUCCGGGUGUAGCGGUGGAAUGCGUAGAGAUCCGGAAGAACACCGGUGGCGAAGGCGGCUCGCUGGGCAGUAGCUGACGCUGAUGCGCGACAGCGUGGGGAGCAAACAGG
This 253-nucleotide ribosomal RNA is filed under the name uncultured bacterium. RNAcentral's name for it is "partial 16S ribosomal RNA". It matches the Rfam family "Bacterial small subunit ribosomal RNA", at positions 524 to 776 of the family's 1533-position model. The record is from RNAcentral.